AGAGUUUCUUCCUGGCUCAGGAUGAACGCCGGCGGUGUGCCUAAUACAUGCAAGUCGUACGCGUUGGCCCAACUGAUUUGAAGUGCUUGCACGGAUCUGACGUUGGUUUACCAACGAGUGGCGGACGGGUGAGUAACACGUAGGUAACCUGCCCAGAAGCGGGGGACAACACUUGGAAACAGGUGCUAAUACCGCAUAACAAUUCAAAUCGCAUGAUUUGAAUUUGAAAGAUGGUUUCGGCUAUCACUUCCGGAUGGACCUGCGGCGCAUUAGCUUGUUGGUGGGGUAACGGCCUACCAAGGCAGUGAUGCGUAGCCGAGUUGAGAGACUGAUCGGCCACAAUGGGACUGAGACACGGCCCAUACUCCUACGGGAGGCAGCAGUAGGGAAUCUUCCACAAUGGGCGCAAGCCUGAUGGAGCAACACCGCGUGAGUGAAGAAGGUUUUCGGAUCGUAAAGCUCUGUUGUUGAAGAAGAACGUGCAUGGGAGUAACUGUUCAUGCAGUGACGGUAUUCAACCAGAAAGUCACGGCUAACUACGUGCCAGCAGCCGCGGUAAUACGUAGGUGGCAAGCGUUAUCCGGAUUUAUUGGGCGUAAAGAGAGUGCAGGCGGUUUCUUAAGUCUGAUGUGAAAGCCUUCGGCUCAACCGAAGAAGUGCAUCGGAAACUGGGAAACUUGAGUACAGAAGAGGGCAGUGGAACUCCAUGUGUAGCGGUGGAAUGCGUAGAUAUAUGGAAGAACACCAGUGGCGAAGGCGGCUGCCUGGUCUGUAACUGACGCUGAGACUCGAAAGCAUGGGUAGCGAACAGGAUUAGAUACCCUGGUAGUCCAUGCCGUAAACGAUGAGUGCUAGGUGUUGGAGGGUUUCCGCCCUUCAGUGCCGGAGCUAACGCAUUAAGCACUCCGCCUGGGGAGUACAACCGCAAGGUUGAAACUCAAAGGAAUUGACGGGGGCCCGCACAAGCGGUGGAGCAUGUGGUUUAAUUCGAAGCUACGCGAAGAACCUUACCAGGUCUUGACAUCUUGCGCCAACCCUAGAGAUAGGGCGUUUCCUUCGGGAACGCAAUGACAGGUGGUGCAUGGUCGUCGUCAGCUCGUGUCGUGAGAUGUUGGGUUAAGUCCCGCAACGAGCGCAACCCUUAUUACUAGUUGCCAGCAUUAAGUUGGGCACUCUAGUGAGACUGCCGGUGACAAACCGGAGGAAGGUGGGGACGACGUCAGAUCAUCAUGCCCCUUAUGACCUGGGCUACACACGUGCUACAAUGGACGGUACAACGAGCAGCGAACUCGCGAGGGCAAGCAAAUCUCUUAAAACCGUUCUCAGUUCGGAUUACAGGCUGCAACUCGCCUGCAUGAAGUCGGAAUCGCUAGUAAUCGCGGAUCAGCAUGCCGCGGUGAAUACGUUCCCGGGCCUUGUACUCACCGCCCGUCA
RNAcentral lists this ribosomal RNA (1434 nucleotides) under uncultured bacterium. RNAcentral describes it as "bacterial SSU rRNA". It matches the Rfam family "Bacterial small subunit ribosomal RNA". The record is from RNAcentral.